GAUGAAGAACGUAGUGAAAUGCGAUAAGUAAUGUGAAUUGCAGAAUUCAGUGAAUCAUCGAAUCUUUGAACGCACAUUGCGCCCCUUGGUAUUCCGGGGGGCAUGCCUCUUCCAGCGUCAUUUCACCCCUCAAGCUCUGCUUGGUUUUGGGCCGCGCCGGCAACGGCGGGCCUCGAAAAUAGUGGCGACGCCAUCGUGCUCUCAGCGUAGUAAUUCUUCUCGCUGUUGGGUCCCGGUGGUCGUCCGCCAGCAACCCCCAACUUUCUUAAGUUUGACCUGGGAUGAGGUAGGGAUACCCGCUGAACUUAAGCAUAUCAAAUAAGCGGAGGA
Molecule: unclassified non-coding RNA, 330 nt
Filed under: soil metagenome
Description: partial contains 5.8S ribosomal RNA, internal transcribed spacer 2, and large subunit ribosomal RNA
Rfam family: 5.8S ribosomal RNA (bases 1-120)
Source: RNAcentral